Molecule: long non-coding RNA, 340 nt
Organism: Portunus trituberculatus (swimming crab)
Lineage: Eukaryota; Metazoa; Arthropoda; Malacostraca; Decapoda; Portunidae
Exons: 3
Source: RefSeq, a predicted model, not a curated record
AGGAAGAGGAGGAGGAGGAGGAGGAGGGGGUGGUGGUGAUCAGGGUGGAGGAGGGAGAGGAGGAGGGGGUGGGGGGCGUGACCCUUGCCUCUCUCCUCUUCUCCCCCUCCUCCCCCUGGGGACCCUGCACCCGCUCCUGCAUUACGAGAAGAACCAGGAAGUGCAAGUUUGAGAGCUUAUGUGGGCGUGAGAUAAGAGUGGAAGAAGCUUACUGCUAUGCUCUCGGCUCAAGCUGCAGAAGAAAGGUUCUCAGCCAUUUAGAAGAGCAAGGAUACGUAAUAAUAGAAGAUAAUGAAGACGAGGUGUUGCAGCAAGAAGAGGAGAGGAGGAAGAAGGAGGA